CACCGGUUGGUUGCCUGCAUGUUGCUGCUACGAGAGAUGAUUCCCAGGAUUAGGGGAUCAGAAAAAAGACCCUUCUAAUUUAGAUGCCGAGACAUCAGAGAGACUGACUGAUUUGAGAUGUUCUGCUGUUCAAAUUUGCAUCUUCUUUUUUAAAACCUCGCCCAGCUGGACAAUUCCCAGCGAUUCCAGACUCUUCGGAUACAGAGCGCUGAGCAAAUUAGCUUGCUGCCUGUCAUUCCACCUAUCAGAGAGAAACAGAGGAAGGGUGUACUUUGCCUCCUGCCCAAUGGCUGCUGGAGAUAUGCACCAGCACCGUUUUGCUCUGCAGAGGAAGCACAGGCUAAUUGAUCUCAGGAAUGCAUUCUGGAUCCUGUUCAAGGCUUUCAUGGCGAGUCUGGACCUCAGAGAUAACAUUUUGUCAGCUGCACAUCCAUAGUGUAACUCUUUCAUUCCUCCAAACUGCAAAAGGUGGAGGCCUUUGGACCACAAUGAACUAAUGUCAUGUUAAAGGAUCCAGUUGAUAUUUUUAGCUUUGUGGUGUGGUGCAGUAUUUUGUCAGAAGUAGCCUUAAAAUGAUGAGUAUGCUGUGAUCAUAAAAGGAAAGAGACGAGCAGCAACAAUAUUCAGGUGGGUUUUGGUGUUUGAACGAUGCUGAACUGGUACUAAAUGCCCCAAACGGAGCCAAAACCCAUCGUCCACAUCAUUACACCACCACCAGCUUGAACUGCUGACACAAUUCAGGAUGGAGAAGUGGUUUCAUGAUGUUUGCACCAAUUUUUAAUCCUGACACUCACCAGACCAGAUGCUUUUAAAUGUGUUUUUGCCCAGGUCUGAAUAGUACCUUUCAAUUCCUGUUUUCUCAUGUGGAGCGGCAUUCCUCUGCUGCUACAGCCUGCUAGCUUCAAUGUAUGAUAUUUUUGACUUGAAAAAUAA
Long non-coding RNA from Poecilia latipinna (sailfin molly), 933 nucleotides. RefSeq lists it as uncharacterized. NCBI's taxonomy places the organism in Eukaryota, Metazoa, Chordata, Actinopteri, Cyprinodontiformes, Poeciliidae. The record is from RefSeq and is a predicted model, not a curated record. The transcript is spliced from 4 exons.